RNAcentral lists this long non-coding RNA (560 nucleotides) under Numida meleagris (helmeted guineafowl). Its description in RNAcentral is "lncRNA (ENSNMEG00000001035.1)". The record is from RNAcentral. Lineage: Eukaryota; Metazoa; Chordata; Aves; Galliformes; Numididae.
AGUCUUUAUUGGGGUGACACAACAGCCACAGCUCCGGGUGUUGGUGGGGAUGGUGACAGCUCCAGGUGUUGUUGGGGACAAUCACAGCUCCGGGUGUUGGCGGGGACGGUGACGGUGACAGCGCCGGGCGUUGGGGACAAUCACGGCUCCGGGUGUUGGUGGGGACGGUGACGGUGACAGCGUUGGGUGUUGGGGACGGUGAUGGUGACAGCACCGGGUGUUGGGGACAAUCACGGCUCCAGGUGUUGGUGGGGACAGUGACAGCUCCGGGUGUUGGUGGGGACGGUGACGGUGACAGCGUUGUGUCUUGGGGACAAUCACAGCUCCAGGUGUUGGUGGGGACGGUGACAGUGACAGCGCCGGGUGUUGGGGACGGUGACAACAGUGGGGACAACUCCAGGUGUUGGGGACAAAUCCGGAUGUUGGUGACGGUGACGACACUGGGGACGGCUCCGGGUGUUGGCAAGAGCUCUGGGUGUUGGGGACGGCUCCGAGUGUUGGUGACGGUGACAGCGCUGGGGACGGCUCCGGGUGUUGGGGACGGUGACAACACUGGGGAC